UUUGAGCUACCCAACCCCCCAUGCACACCAAGCACCCCCUACCAACUCCAAUCCUACAACGAGAGGGACCCCACCCAAAAUUUGGAAGUAGACAUCAGAUGGUGGUUGUUUUUGCUUUCUCUCACUCUCUCUUUUUUCAAGUGUUGUGUGGGUGGGGGCAUUAGUUGUCAAUGAGUGAUUGUUCGAGCAGACUGCAAGCAGAUAUGAACAAAAAAUAACCCAACCUUAUUGAUUAAGUUAAUCUAAAGCUAAAUAACAAACUUGUUAUGAAAUCUAUGCAUUUAAAUUAAAAGAAGACCUUUGUAAAAUAUUGCUACUUUUUGAACUACCAUUGUGUUGACAGCAUCUCUAGAUCAUAGUUGUAACAUAAAGAGUCAUGUAGAUGUCAAUAACACAUAAUAAUCAAGUAUUAAAACAACAGCUGAGUAUGUUGACUGCAAAUACCUGAUAUUUUUCUUUUCAUCAAAUGUUUUUAGAUAUUUAUGAUUAGAAGGACACAGCUGCGUUUUUUGAAUAAUUAAAUACCUCUUCAUUAAAGCCCCCUUGAAGAUGAAAAAGCCAAAUCAAAACAAAAAUUACCCACUGGGAUUAAAAAGUUUAGAGCCUCACUUUUACCACAGUUUGAUGUGGUAGUCAGGCUUUUAAAGCUAUUUUUCAGAGGUGGAACCUUCAAAAAUUAAUUAGUCCACUGUGAGCUGCAUUCUAAAAACAAAGACAAAAAAUCAAAUCGCCCAUAAGCAAUUCAUCGCUUUUUCUCCUCCUGCUAGUUCCCUCUAUCAAUAACUAAUUAAUGUUCCCAAACAAUAGCUCCAAGAAUAGUGCAUUUCAAUCACAGCCAGUUAUUCCAUUAACCAUGGACUCUGGGGUAUACAGUACUUUUUCAUCAGUUGAAUUUGUGUUGCAAAUUGGAUUUUUGGCAGAGAGCAUAAUAUGACGGGCUGUCAAUGCAAGAAACUCAGAAAUACAAUCGUCAUGCAUUGUGCAAUCUCAUUCUGUUUUUCAGCUGUCUAUUACUUUUAAGAGCAAUGUUUGAACCCCUUUGAAGAGAGAAAACAGUCUUUGUGUCGGCACUGAACUCACAACUUGUCAUCUAAACUGAAACUUCCAGUACCUCUUAUGUGUCAGCCGGCAGCCACAGACAAUGUGUCCCACCCCAUUUUUAUUCCAGCAAUUUUCCCUAGCAAGGCAGUCAAAAUUAUCCACAGUGAGUUAUUUCUGACUAUGUGCUGCCAGCAGAGGUGAGAAGGCUCGGGAUGUUGAAAUUUUUCAAAGUUCGCUGCAUAAUGAUACAAUUUGCUUUGUGGCUUUUUCCCUAAUGGUGCCUGACAUCCAGACGCUUUGUCUUCAAUCUUCAAUCUGUUCCGCACCCAAACAACUCCAUCCGUGUUUGUGCUUGUACUGCAUGCGCUCUCGCAUCACAAUUUUAUGGUUUUGAUCCCCCUCGCUGUUUCAUUAUCUGCCUUAAUCCUUGUUUUUUUAGGGGCUGUUUUUCACGCAAAUUGAUUGUGAAAUUUCAUGACAGAGCUGCCAGGUUUCACAGGUUAUUGGAAACCUCUGUCCGCCGUCUACCCCCUCCGCCGCCUCCUCCUCCCUGUUCUGUCAACACCUCUUGAUUUUAACCACAGGUACAGCAGGGGCUCUGCCAAUAAACACUGCUCUCCCCGAGUUCAUCCAAAGGUAACACAUUUGAUGCCCAGAACUACCCGAGGGGGAAACACUUACUCGCGAUUAUUAUGCAUAUUUUGACAGCAACCUGAUUUAAUGUAAACCCAUGCAGGGGUGACACUGCUUAUAUUUAGAUGGAAAUUAAUUUGUGUCCUUGUGUCUUUUAGUUUGUCUUCGCAAACUUCCAGCUGUUAAGGCAAGUUGAAGUGAAUGAACGCCUAAUGAUUACUGAGCAGCGGCAGCAGCAGCAGCUCAGGAGGUAAACAAACCAUUCAUCUGACAGACUGGCAGCCUGAUGACACCUGUGCAACAUCCAAAACACUUCCUACAUCCAAUUUGCAGGUGUCUUUGCACUGGUAUAUGGCAAUAAAUUGUUGCUGUGACAUUCUUACUGUCUAAUGCAGCUCUGCUGUACCUUUUAUUAGUUAAAACCCAUUGUUAUCCCACUCAUCAUUUGUUAUGAAUUGAUUGGAUUAUGUAACCCACUUGUCCGAAUACUUUUUCUGGGACUUGUGAGUCAACCAGACUUGUUUGGUCUUGAAGACAAUUCAACAAUCAUGUAACAGGCAUCAACAAUUCAUCAGUCAUAACUUAUUGACUCACUACUUCUGGAAGUCUUUUGAAUUGGAUGACUAACACUACAUAAACACACUUUUAAUCACUCAUUGAACUGCUCCAAAUCUGGUCAAACAAAGGCUUUUUUGUUGGCCUUAUAGCUUAAAGAAAAGAAAAUCAGAAAUAUUUUGAACUAACAUAAAAAGAGUGUUGAAAAACAGUUUCAAUUGUGUAAACAGCAUUGUGCAACCAUUACCAAUAAAUUAAAGGAUAAUUGCAGGUUUUGUAUCACCAAAGCAAUACAGAGCUGUACUGUAACUCCAUCUAUGCAAUUACUGGACCAAACAAUGCUUUGCUGAAAACAAAACUGUUGUACACGUAUACGCUGUUAAAAAUUGGGCUUUCAUGAUCUGCCAUAAUUUUCCACUACACCACCAACAGUGUUAAUAACAGGUUUACAUGUAAAGUUAAGUCAAGCAGAGAGUAGGUACCCGAGGUGUGCAGGUGGUUGGAUCAACUCUGGGUCGUGUGCCUGUAAGAAACCUCAAACAGUAUGAUUGGCUGUUAUUGUGUUUUACAUUUUGGUUGUCUCUAUGAUGGAAAAUUUGUUUGUUUGAGAGUUUCAGAAUAUAGUAACACAUUUUUUAUAAAGGCAUUCAGUUAAAAGACUGGUGAGUGAGAGGCAUGGCUGACUUCACUGAAAACAGGGGUACACUGCAGCCAUUUGCGAGCAGGUUAAAGGACCAUCUCUUGUAGCUCAACUGAGAGGUAGGUUGAGUCAGCAUUACCAAUAUGGCGACAGUUGCUAAUAGGCUUCAAAACUCCACUUCAGAAAUAAAUGGGUAAACUCACCUACGCUACGGCCAGUAAUCAUACAUGGUCACAGUCCAAGAACAAGUUAGCAACAUGCUGACUUAUUGUAUGUACUGUUGUAUUGUAUGAUAUGCAGCUUUUUCUUCUUCAAGCCCAUUCUUUGUCUGUUGAGGUUUUGUUUAUAAUCUGGGGUCUUCCUAUGCAUUUAUCUGGUUUGACCAUAGACUGUAUAUACUGUACUAUGGACAACUUGGCUCCGCCUUCCGUCAUGAUACGAAUUCAAUGCCAAAUUGCUCUUGGUAUUUCUGGGAUUUUCUCCACUUCCUGGAACCACCACUUGCACAGUAGCAUUGUACACAUCCAGUGAGAGAGAGGCUGUGAUGACGCUCAACUCAAACAGCGUAUCCCCCGGGUGAGCCAUGCAAGCUUCAAUACGCCCAUUGGCUGUAUCAAGUGUCAAUCAUAGAAAACACAAACCCCCAACAACUUUCAAAAAUGGAGCAACCACAUGUCUACAACUCCACAUGGAUUGCCAGAGGAGGCGGGAUUUAUGACCUAUACUGCAGCCAGUCACCAGAAGGCGCUGUUCUCAUGAUGGCUUCACACAGCAAGGAGGCAGACGACAGCGGUUCUAUAUACAGUCUAUCUGUUUGACUUUCUAGGGGAAAGAACAGCGUGUAAACUGUGGUGCAUGCUCAGAAUGCCUAGACCAGUUUUGAUCUGAUGGCAGUGUGCAUGUGCAGGAACAAAUCAAUCCACAAUUGCAUUAUCUUGACAUGUUAGUUACGACUUCGUUUGAUCGCAAUAGUCACAUGAAAAAAUAAAAAGUCAGCGUUCAGUAGUUGUAAUGGAAUUAAUCCAUUUUUGAAAAUGUACUGGAUGUUGGCCUUCACCCAAAGUACAGUCGGCAACAAAUAGAAUGGUACAUUUGAGUAACUGAAGCAGAAUUAUCCUUUAACACACUGAUACAGAAGCAAACACUGUGGUUGCCAUGUGUUACACAGUCAUAAAUUCAUUUGUACCCAUCCACAACCACAGAAGGAUUAGCACUCUAAAGGAGUGCCAGUGUUUGGGAGAUAUAAGUGAACAUGUCAUUUUGAGGUUGCUCAACCCUUCCUUGUUGUUUUUUCAGGGAGGAUGAAGUGGACUCACAGCGGUUGUCUGUCCACUCACUUGGUGCUCUCCACUUCAAUUCUUGUAACUCAGUGUGCACUCAAGUGACAAUAAUGGGAUUUUGGGAGGCUGGCGUCAGAUGUGAUGAGCCGCUUCCUUCUGUUAAUAGAGGGUUCAAAGGGGGGUGGGGGUGGGGGUGGGGGGUUGAUAUGAAGGGGAAUGAUACGUCUGAGUUUGUUUUUUAAGGAUGGGGGAGACCUAACAAUCUGUGAAACACAGACAGCUAAUCUCGUUACCUCGCAAACUUGACACGUUUUUCAGCGCUGACAGAGCUCAAAAGUUCUGGUGCCACUUUAAAAGACGUACCUCAGCAUGUGCUCCUUCAAUUCUUCUUCUCUGCUUUUAUACCGCUCCUCUUCAGAGAUGUCACACAAUAUUCUGAAUACUUCAUUGGCUGCUAAAGUGUUAGUAGGUAGGUGCUGUGCAGUGGAUUAAAAAAAGAAAGCAACAUUAAAUCAUUGAAGGAAGGAGACAUGGAUGGAAAUAGAGUUGGAGUUGCUCUUGUUUCUACGGUAACUGUCGAUGGGGAGGUACCAGGGAUGAAAGUGGAGGGAAAACAAACCUCCCCGCUCCGAUGGCAACAGCACAGCAAUUGGUUCUCGUUUCCUGCGAGGACAGGAAGAAAAAAAAAAACAUAACAAGGUCCCCUAGUAGCCCAGGAGACACAGUUCGAUGUUGCAUCAGAAAGCAAAGAGGCAGGGCAAAAUGAACACGCGCUUCAAAACAUGCACUUACACAUGCACACACACACACACAUACACACACUUCUCCCACACACGCACACACAAUCACAUGCUCCACUUCACCCUGCAGCCACCCCUCCUGCUCCUGCUCUCUCUCACUCUCCCGCCAAAACAUCUACAGCACGUGAAACCUGCCUAGAAACCGAUAGGAAACUUCCGCCUUCCUCUGAUUGGCUGAGCUCCCUAGCAACCGCGUAUACCCAACCAGCCAGUCAGGCGCGUUGUGAGAGGCACACUGACCCAAUGAAACAGAUUAUUCAGAGGCGCGGGCAGGCGCAGUGACCUGGUAACAGUCAGGAGAAGAAGUCAGGGAGACGCUGGAGGGAGAGAAGAAAAGCUUUCUGUGAUUGGCUCUCAGAUUUCCUCUUUGUUCUGAUUGGCAGUGAGCUCUCCUCUUUGCAGUCAUUCAUACAUUUCUCUGCCUGCCUCAGCACAAGCGCCUAUGUUUCCUUCACCCUCAGCCUGUUCGUUCAACUUCCAGAGUGGCCACCCUGCCCUCAAGGAAAUCCACUGCCCAAGGUCAAGGCAAAGACUGAAACGGGAUUGGUUUAGACACACAGGAGCAGAACAAGAUCCUAGUAACAAGUCUACCUCAUCAUAUCAGCACGGGAUUAAAACCUGCGAUCAACAACUUGUUAAACAACACAAGUGCUCUUCCUGUUGUGGCUGUUGAUGAGCUUGUUAUUGUGUUGCUUGUAAUGGACACGGGCCAGUGAAAGGCAUAAUUAGCUUUUUGCUUAAUAAUGCAGCAUUGACAGGGCUGUUCUCCAGGCAAGUUAUACCAGGCAUAUUAGCAAAUUGGUUAGUUUGUUUUGAAAAACUUAGCUUUCUGAAGGCGCACGGGGCGAGGUCUGCAAAAAUCUUUUUAAGCAUUCCAAACUGCUUGCUCCAGUAGUAUGGGGAAUUAAUGUCAAUACCCUGCAGGAUCAGGAGUUCACAUUGAAUAGUUAAUGAGUUGGGGGAGAGAAGGACUCAAAUAAUUCUGCAUAUCGAGCAUGCCAUGCAUACUGCCUAAUUUAACAUAACUGCAGGCAGAAACUCACUCAGGCAGGAACAUUAUACUGCUAUGAUUAGUAAAAACAACAUUACCAUCCAACACUGAAAUUGCUCAUAGCUCCCUAACAAAUUAGUUUGUUCGGUUUGGAAGGUAAACCGCAUUCAUAUUAGGGGAUUUUUUUUUUCACUUUUAACAAUAAAUGUUGCUCUGUGUUAUUUAUCCUGCACUGAAUGAUUCAUAAUAAGUACUUUCAAUCUCUUAACCAACAAUACAAAGGCUGUUAUGUUUCUCAUGUACUGACAUGAAGGAACUUCCACUUAUAAGUGGUGCAGAUGAGUUGUAGGACAAAAGAGUGGUUAAAAAGUUCCUGUAAAUGGCAGAGGUGUCUCAGCCAACAAUGUAUCCCAACAGACAUACUGUGGUAUUGUGGCAAUGGCAUCAGCACAGAUCUAAAGUUAUGUGCUGUCCAAAUAAAUCGAGAGCAAUCUAGCAAUCUAGUUUCCCUCUUGUGAGUUCGCCAAUGCCAUCACCUUUGCUACUUCACAAUUAAAAUUUGUUGUCACGUCCUUUUGACCAAUGAGAAUCAAGUACUUUAACAAAGCUGCAAUGUACCAAGGAAAUUAAAAGCUGUAGUUUUGUAUCCUUGAUUUUUAGAAAGAUGGGUACAAAUAUGGAGAAGCUUAACAGUUCAACAACUGCUUUUUCUUUUCUUUUUCUUUUUAUUCUUCAUUGAUGUUUUUCUUGUUGACUAGCAACACUUUGCAGUUAAGUCAAGAUACCAUUAUGCCUUAAUUUGGCAAUUUAACUGGACUGUUGUCCUUGUCCCAGUUAACAAGACAGGGGGAACAUUCCCCUGUUUCUAUCAGUUUGUCUCUUGGUUUACCAGCUACAUAUCAAAAACCACUUACAAAAUGCAUUAGUGAAAAAAGCUAACAAGAUGUCAAACCAAAAAACCCUGUCCUUUUUUAAAGCUCUUUAGCGUUUGUUUCCACAGUCGGAAAGUUUUGUCUUUUUUAGGUAAUUUCUUCAACGGGCGAGUUUUUUUAAAACCACCUGUUCUUCUAGCAACACUUUCAUGCUAUUCAACUUCUGGCUCAAAUGCCGGCAUGCAAACACCAGGGCAUGCACAAAACGCUCAGGCCAGUUUCAGUCUAAUCAGGCAGUAUACAGAACCUGUGCUCAACCCAGGAGCAGCAAAGUCUGGUCCCUCUGAAUUUUCUGCUAUUUUUGCUCUUUUUUUUUUUAAUGUUUUGUCAAGUUUUGUAAACUGCUGAUGGAUGUUUCUGCUGGGAGGAGCAUUUGUUUAGGAAAGGAGCUUCUUUCAUUAGGACAGAGCCAAUCUGGAGGGCAGCUUAUCUGGUUCUGGUGAAUGUCUGGCAGUGUUUAUCCGUGGUUGCCAUGCUGGUGGAGGUGAGGGGAAAGUUAAAGGCGCAGAAAUUAUGCCCUUUCCUCCAUCAGUUAUCAUUGGAACUCUUCUUUGCCCAACAAAAGCGAGGAAUGAGAAAGCAUACUGUGAGUGCAGUCUUCUGUCUUUUUUCUGAAACCUGGUGGAAUCAAAACAACUCAGACUCAGUGUGGAUCUACCUGGCUUCACUCUCAUAAGGUCAGAUAGAGAUGCUAAAGCUAGAGGCAAGAAGAAAGGAGGAGGUCUGGCUUUAUUUGUAAGCCAUUCUAAAGAAACAUGGAUCAUUCACUUCAUAACACCUUGAUGGACCACAAGAAAAAAAAAAAAAAAAAAAAAAAAAAAAAACCAACAGUAAUGGACGGCUCCUCUCUCUUUGCUGAAAGGGAGGUGUCACUGUUCCUAGCCACAUAAUCAUGUGUUAUUGAACUUUUUACUUAUUUCUUUGUUGUUUCAGCAAUCAUCAAUUUGAAAAGGGCUCUUUAGGGAAAAGUUCUCCUUACUUAUCUUUUUAUUUUACAGAUAAUUAGCUUUGAGUAGGCGAUGGAUAUAAAAAAAAAUAGUACUCAAAAUGCUGGGCUUUUCUCUUUUGCCUAUUAAAUGAACAUCAUAAUCCAAUCAUCAGAAUAGUUGUAUUACUGUUUGUGGUAAACCCACCUUCCUGAAUGAACAAAGAUGUAUGCAGAGGAGCAUAUGCAUCUGAAUCAAUCAGUGGGGUGCUUUGUUUUAUAUGGUAGACUUUGACUUUGUUCCCCAAAUGAAUGGCUGUUAGGAGUCCCUUGGGUCCUCGGUAGCCUGAGGAAUUGUGUGAUAAAGAUCACAUUACUUUAAGCAGUCAUCACAGGAGGAUAUCUCAGUGGGAAAUGUACUUUGGUUAAAUGUUAGAAGUUAGUAUAGUCUACAUACUUGUAGUCGGGGUGAAUGUUUGCCCAUGGGAGGAGCUAACCCUUGUGUGUACAGCUGAGAUCAAAGGGAACCUGACAAGCUCUGUAUCAUUAGACAAUGCAAAGGUUUGAUCUUUAAAGUUGAAAUGUGAAUGAAAAUGCAGACCCUGCUUCACAAGGUCAGCACUAAAGUGUUUACAGACCUUUGUCUGACGUUUUAAGGGUUGGCUAUCCAACUGUCUCUCUUUGUCAAGGCCUCAUUAAUGCCACUAGGGAUGACCUCAAGUCAAACAAGCCUGGGGGGGGAUUUCGAAUCAGACUGGAGCAUCCGAUGACUCACCUUGGUUGCAUUGAAGGCCUCUAUAAAUCCGUCUUUUCAAUACACGGCUACAUCUUUCACCAGUCUGGGCACUUCUCAGAAACCAGGAUGUGUCAUGAUUUUGAAGGAUUUCAUGUUGCCAUUACCUCAUCCUUCAAAGCCACAGUCAUUUACAUAUCCUGGGGUUUCUGGGGGAGAUGAGCGGCACACUAUCCUCAUCCGUGAAAUGACCUAUUCAACUUGUUUUUUGUUUGGCCUGUAGAGGAUCGCCUCUGCUGUCUGUGUGAAGCUAAUUGGAUACAGCAGAGCUCCAAGCCGGGCUUCACAGCCAGGGGGAAAUAAUUUCAGGAAAUAAAGCAUAAAAGUAUUGUGCCAUGAAAACAGUGUGCGUUCAGCAUUUUAAGCACUGGAAGUGGAAGCAGAAAAAAGAGACAGAUGUUGGACAGGUUUGUGAAUAGACAGUGAAAUCCACUCUGUACACUGACACACACCGCCUCUUAGUUUGGAAUCCACAGGAUGUGCUAUUAUCAUGCAAAUGAUUACUUUAGCUGGAAAUGCCAAGGAAGGGAUUAGCAUACGCAAUAUUCAUUCAUAUUAAAACAGACCUAUAAUGUUUGGCUAUGAAUCUUCCAAAUACUUCUUAUCCCUGUUUUUGUCGUCUCCAAGUGCUAAGUGCAACCCUGUUUUUAUAGUGUAAUUAAAAGCUGAAUAUGCUCAACAUGGAAAGAGAAUUUUAAAUCAGACAAAUGCAGGGAACUUAGCUUUAAUUGCGUCUCGUUUGUUCAUUCAGCUCUGACCUACUUAGCGACUUUCCCAAACACCAUUUAUCAACCAAAUCAAUUAUCCUAUCUUGGAUUAGCAAACAUAAAAGCCCCACAAGAUUUCCACAACAUCACCUCUCUGCUUUGGUUUAGAGACACAGCAACCAGAACCAAUCGAGCAGCUGCUCUUUCUCUUUGAACUCUCGCACUUGUGCAGCUUCUUGGGCAGCCUCGGUGCAUCUCAGGGGGGUCAGCAACUCUGAAGGAUCUCCACUGUGUUGCUCAAGAUUGCCUGGAGGUGUGACAGCCGCCCUCUGAUCUGCCGGCGCCUCUGAAGAUCUGAGGACAGACUUUGCCCAUACCGUCAGUCGCGAGCGCUAACAUUAAAGCGGUGGCACCACAGCGAGCCAUGCAGAAACACAGCAUGGGCCCUAAUUUCCAGUGUCUUCCUGAGCUAAAGAGGAAUAUCUGAGAGGAAAAAGGCAUUUUACUGUAACCAAACCAGGGCUUGGUAUGCUCUGAAUAAUUUUAAGGUUGUCUUAAUUAGACAGCCAUUAUCCAGUAGCUCAGAAGGUACAUACUUAAGUGAUGAAAAGCAUUUUAACUAACACCCACUAUGCUUCACACUUCAAAUUUUAGGAUAUUCUGAAUACAGUUUUUUACCCCUCAGCGACAGCUUUGCUCAAAUUUGUCAAUCGGUUUUAAGAAAUGAUCCGGUUACCACAGAGGAAUUUUAUGCUCGCAGAAUUCUAUUUCCCAGCCAAUUUAAGAAAGGAGGAGGAGGCUGCAUGACUGAGCUGCAAAUUAAUUUUACUGUCUAUCCCCUGGCUGUCUUCCUCUUUUCCCAGGAGGCUUUGCUUUUUGGGUGACUGAGCCUUACACAGCUUUCUGUCACUGUUGCGCACAACACAUGGGCAGCAGAUGUUAGCAGGCUGUGUGUGCCAGGAUGGUUUUUGGUAUCCAGCUAACCUUAGUAGUGCUCUAACAGAUGUGGCUGUGUUUAACGGGGGAGACGUUGACUCGCACACCUGUUGAUUGGACCGCCUGCUUUUGACCACCAGCACAUUCCUGCACCUAACAGUUAAUGAAGCUAAUGAGCUGUUCCAUUAGCUUCAUUAACUGUUAGGUUAAUAAAGCUGAUAGGAAAGCCCAUUAAAUUGAAUUUGCUGUCAAUGUAAGAGGAAUAGCUGCACCAUGCUCCAAUGUUUUCCCUAACAGUAAUUAAAAUAGUCUCUGUUUGUUACCAAAAAUUAGAGUCUACAGUCGUAGUGGCUCAUAGAGGCCGCAUCUUUGGCCAGUAGCACUAGCUUAAUGGUUAAGCUACCAUGCUGUCAUACUCACUAUACUAAUAUUUAUCAUCUCUCAUUUUAACCAUGUCAAUUUUGUCAGUUUAAUUAGCAGCAGGUCUUGAGGGUUAAUUUGUUACAUAGAUCUUAUCUGUGCUGGCUAUAGGGGCCGUUUCUACUUUUAAACCUGGCCAGCUAAGCUCUGAAAUGGAGACAUAUAGGCCUAAUUGGGCAUCAGCUUACAUGCCAAGAGGUAACACUGUGCUUGUAAGAGCCAUAUAUGGACCACACCUACAUCUUAUUAAAUUAAGAUCUCUGCAUGUACUUUUACACAGUUAAUUAGCCAGCUAGCUUACAUACUAAUGUUAAUGGUGCAUUUCACCUUAGGGAUUCCUGUUUGCUUUCUUGUUAAAUGACAAGACAUGGUCAUAUAGUAGGAAAGCAAAUCUGGGAUUUUCUUCAAAGUCUAAGGUUCCUGAGUUACAUGUCAGGCUGUAUUGAAAACAAUUAAGUCGUCCGCAUAGAGAGUAAACUAAUGGUAUUAGUUUUGCAUUUCACAAAGGAAACAACUAAAAUGAAUGAAUGAUAUUGUGUUGUAGCAUCAGCAGCAGAUCUUGAUCUGAAAAUUGUACCUUGUAAAUUGUGUGUUGACAGCACUGCAUUGUUUUGGUUUUUUUGUACAAAGUAGGCACUAACUAAGCAUAGCAUAACUAGACAUAGACUCUGAUCAAUAAUGCCAUUAGUUUACUCUCUGUGGAGAUGAUUAGGGCCCAUGCCUGGUUAAGAUAUCUUUAGUUAGGGCCCAUUUUGUACACAAAACCAAUGUAGUGCUGUCAACACACAGUUUUCAAGGUUAAUCAUCAGGUCAAGAUCUGCUGCUGAUGCUACAACACAAUGUCCUUCAAUCGUUUAAAUUGUUUCCUUUGUAAAAUGCCAUUGACUGAAAGCCAAUAUAGAGCAUAUAGAGCAUUUUAAAAUAAAUAACAGUCUCUACUGAGUGAAAACGGAGACCUUGUUAAGUCAGUUAGUAGGGGCCAUUGCAAAACAAGACAAAAAAAAGCUGCCAGUGGACACAGGCUUUAAGCUGUAAGUUGAAAAGUAAGUCCAAAACACAAAAAUACAUUGAAUUUUUGUAUUUUUGCCUAUUCGGUUCCAGAUUUUGUCCCUUGAGAAUGCAGUAGCAGACAAUAAAAUGAAUGAAAAUCCUUUUUUGAGUUAAAUACACCACCAAUUUAAGUCCAGUACACCCUUGGGGGACAUGACUGACAUUUUCAAAUGUCUGUAACAGUCCACCAAAUACUUGUUGAGGGUUGAACCAAAGCAGUCUGUUUGGUAAUGACUUUGUUUUCACCUCAGGCCAGUGAAGGAAUAAGCAUUAAUAAAAACUGGAGAUCAAUGUCAAGCCAAAAAAUGAUGCCACUUGUGUUCAGAGCUUGAGAAUAAAAUAUGACGAGUUAAUGAGCUGUGUUCAGGACGUGUCUCUGGGUUUUCAAGAAAGGGCAUCAAAUAUUCAUAAAGAUGUUUCCUUGGCAGAAAGGUUUAGUUGUAUGAGAUUUUUCAUCUGCCUGGUUAAUAUUAGAAAAGACCAGGAGGGCUCAGUACCACCAGUAAUGGCUAGAGACAUUGUCUUCUGCUUAGGGCGUUUCAAGGCGGAUAAAACAAUCAUCACCCAAUAGACUCAGACAGCAUUGUGACAGCCAUGGAGUUCACAGAGGCGAAUAUGUCACUGCCUACUUGAGAGAGAGAGACGACCAGGAUUUUUUGGUGCAGUGGAUAGGAGCUGCGCCUGGCUGGUCCUCCAUAGCCGGCAGUCACAGUCAGUCUCCUCAUCUUCCCCCAGUCAGAGUCCCAGGGGAAGCAGGAAUUGACGUGCCAUUAAAGAGGCUUUGAAGAGAGGCAACUGUCAGCACGACUGCCUCCGCUUUUUUAAGCAGUGAGAGAAUGGAAGUACAGAUGUGGGUGCAAUGAGGACAGAGCGAACAGCCUUGGAAAUGUCUUACUGAGUCGUCUGCACGACUAGAAACAAGAUAAGGGAGAAAGCUGUUUCUGAAGCAAAAGCUGAUAGAGGUUGUUGUUUUUUUUAAAAAAAAGCUUUUCUGCAGACAAAAGAUACUGAGGACAGAAUAAGUCACAUGCAGGGAAAGUUAGCUAUCUGUGAUCAUUCUACUCUGUGUUUUAAAGGGAUUUAAGUGGAAAUUAACAGCUUAAGUUGACUGCAUUUGUUUAAUAAGCUGUUUUUGUCACAUUUUCAGUCAAGUUCUUGACCUUCAUGACACGGCAUAUGCCAAUGAGGACAAGACCAUAUUAUAAACAUUCACUACAGGGGGGGGCAAGCAACCAAACCCACAAUGAUGUCAUGCUUUUGGUAGUUGGUGAAGUGAGUCUGCAGAGGAGAUGACCUAAUUUCCUGUGUGGUCACGAUCAAGGAAAGGGAGUUUUGGGGACUUUUCUGUCGCCCUACAGUGGAUGGUGUAAUUACGAUUACACGAAAAACAACGUGAUGCAUGUUUACACUUUGACAUCACUAAGAAUUAUACAAAAAUAAAGUUUCAACCACUUCAAUUUUCUCUCUUUUGUGUGUUAAAUGUUGGAUUUUUUAAUGUCAAAGCUGACUUGCAAAUGUGCUCCUGUAAAGGCUGUAGAGAUAAAUUUAUGCAGAGUAGCGUUCAUACAUGUCAGAGCUGUAACCUACAGAACAUGACAUCAAUACACGGGAUUUCAUGGUCACAUUUUAUGCGUGUCAUAAAAAAUAACACCCCUGAGCCUCCUUGUAUGCUCUGGUUGUUGCAGAAUCAUUAGCCACAUCAAACCAGUUCACGCCACACAUGGUCAUGACUUCAUGGCUCAUUUUGCACGCUGUCCCUUGAAUGAUUUGGCUCAUUGUUUGUCUGCUCAGUGUCUCUGAAUAAGCAUGAGCCCCGCCCCUCUCCACAAGCAGCACCACCACUACGUCUGGUAGCACAACUGGUGUGAGAUCAAAAGGCGUCUCGUAAACAAUCCAUGAAAAGGGUUAUGUUACGGAUGACACCAUCACUUAAUUACAGUGUCUUUUACACAAAAAUGAGCUCUGCUUGUUGCUGCCAUGAAAGGAUAUAUUCGACCAUGGCUGCAGAUGAUGCCUGCGUUUACUGGGCUACAUUUGAUUUUAGCCACCACCGUAGCAGGAAGUUCUUCACAAAACAUAGGUCUUUCCACUGCUGUUGUUUCAUUUGAUGCGAGAAAGCUCUUAAAUCACAAGUUUGAUUCAAACACCGAAUGAGGAUUAGGAUUAACCCCUGAGGCCAUAUGCAUUAUCUGACCUUUGACCUUGUUUGUUUGACUUUGAACCCAUUGUAUAGCAUGACAUCCGAAACCUCAUAGGUCUGAGAUAAUAGCUUACAAACUUACACAAAAAUAAAUUAAACACUUGAGUGUCACAGCUGUGUUCAACACUCAGCUGACCUUUGUCUUCCAUGUGUGCUGUUCCUGUGUCGCAAACUGCUGUGAUGAAGAAUACACUCUUGUUUUGUUGAAGAGACUGUUGCUUGGGACUCAGCCCUGAUGCAGCCUGAUCACAUAACCAUGACAAACCACUUCUUUCUGCAGAUCAGAGUACGAUACAGUGUAUUGUAAAUCAGCCUAUUCAUGGUAAUAUGUCCAUAAAUCAUUUGAGACUGUGACAAACACCCUAGAGACAAAACAUCAACAAAACUGACUGUAAGGGUUAGAAAUCUUCAAUCAAUCCUUUGUGUCAUAUUGUUGAUCUUUGUAGUAAGUAGUUGCUAAUAAAGCACAAAACAAUAAGGCUAAAAGCUUGAUUUUUUUCAACCCUGUCAACAAAAAAACUUACCUCUCAUGUCUUUGCUGUUUUGUACUGUAUCUGUAUGUUUUGAACUUAUUACAUCUAACCCUGACUGACAGAAAAGGUUAGGCGCAAUAAAGAUGACCAUAUAGUAAUUAUAAAACCUGCCAAUGAGUGUCUCAUAAGUUUUUCAAGGUACAAUAAAGGUACAAAUCUUGAUUUUCGCCUGUUUCACAACCAGACAUAAACAGAGGAGCUUUAUAAGCCUUGUGCCCCCAACAUUAUUCCCUACUUAUUACCAGCUUUGUUAAAGCUCUUAUAAAGAGUUUUUUGAUGUGUAUGAAAUAGACUGAAAUUCAUAAACAAAAGUAAACAUAACUUUUAGCAAAAGACAUAAGAUUUUUAUAUCCUAAUUUCAAUGCUUGGAACCAGUGUAAGAGGGUGGGUGUCAGCCUUGCAGCUAAAGAAACAGCCUGAUUUUAAUAUUUUCAUAUAGAUUAUUCUCAAUAAAUUAUAGACUUGACCGUUACAAGACAGCAAAAUGAGAUGUUUUUUUUGGCAAACAUCACUACAUAAUCAUGCAGAAUACAAGAUAAAGACUGCUUUCUUCACAAUUAACAAAAACUGAAAAUUCUUCUUUCUUUAAAUACUUAAUUUUGAUUCAUCAAUGCCCUUUGGCAACAGGUUGUUAUUUCACAAACACUGAUCCUACACAUCUAAUCAAGUUAUACAGCUAGAAGGCUCCCGGCACAUUUUACUCCUAAUGUUUACACCAUGGCAAAAAGUUAGCUUCAAUCAGAAUGCUUCACUGGUUUUUAAGAUGGAGAGUGUUUUUAUUUAUUUCUUUAUUUUUUAUUUAUUUCAUUCUAUUAUCUUUCAGAGAGCACAAAACUUUACAUUAUUAGAUAAUGGGGGAUCAAUAACCAAGGACAAAAGGAAAACAAGAUAAGGUAAACAGCAAAUCAGGGACAUCUAUCAAAUUAAAGAAACAUAAUAUGGAGUUCUCAUUUUAUGUACCAGUUUAAGACACCACAUAAACAAUUAUAUUAUUAUUAUUCAAUUAUACACAACUAAAGUAAAUGACUUUGAUGUAUAUUCCUCCCAUCAGAAUUUUCUGGUGCCAUAAGAUGCCACUAUUGUACUUUUUUUUCAUUAAACUUAAAGCAAAACACAACUUCUUUUCUUUUAUGAAACAAGUUGUUGUGGGGGAGCCCUGACGAGCCGGUCACCAAGUGCAGCAGAAAAUUUAUGAUUAUUACUUUAUGGAAAUCCAAUCAGACCAAGAUGCUGAGGCAGAAGAACUACUGCGUCUGCGGUGUCCAUACAAGAUACACAAGAACUCUGAUUGCAUUUCCAUUAAGUAAUAAUCAAAAAUGUUCUUCCUUGAGCUGCGAAACUCCGCUGUACUCAGAGAUCAACUUGCCACAAACACGCGGCUGCUGGAAAACAGUGAGAUAGUUGUGUUUGGUCUCUUUGCUAAAGAAACGUGGCAAGGAUAAAAAGAUGUUUGAUGGCUAGUACUAUGGCUGGGACCCUAUCUGUUGAUGAAGUUAGGUGCUGUUCUGAGCAUUAUUUGUGGUUAUAGAGUGGCUUUUCGGUUGAGGUUUCUGUGUGGAGACGCAGACCACUGUGUGUUGCUAUUGUGUGGUCAUUGCUGAAGUUGGUAUGACUAGAGAAGCAAGCAAUCUGCAACAUUCAUCUACCAAGGGGUUGUCUAACUUGGUGUGUGUGUUUUGACCAUAAUUUAAAUUUACGUCGGAUUGUCCCUUUAAGCCUUCAACUCAUUUCAAAGUAACUGACUAGGAAUAAAACAGCCUCUCAUGCAUUGUUCUCCAACCCCCCAAAAGUUGCCGGUCUGUUAUGAAUCAUCCAUUUCUUUCAGACAUAAUUUGAACUGACCCUUUGGGGUUAUUUUUAGAUCUCUAAUAAGUUUGUCCUGAUGCUCAGACGGGGCAGCCACAUUCCCAGAAGUGAGCCUCAUCUGACAGGACUGGACAUGAAAGAGUGCCACAACAUCCAAAAUGCUGAGCUUUUUUCCCCUGAAAAGCCCAACAGGUUUUCACUGGGAUUUUUUAGGAGCUCUGACUUUGAAGUCCUAACCCAGAUUUAGAAGGGGAAGUGAAUGUUUUCAUGGGGGAAAGUCAAGCAAGAGGAAUGCGGAUGGACAGAAAUAGCCGCCCAAACUUUCUCUUCUCUUUCAGGUGGGUGGACGGGGCUUUGGGGUCAGCAAUAGAAGCAAACAAUGACAUCAGGAUCACCUCCCACGCAUAUGUCCACACACACAUUUCAGUGCUCCUCCUGUGGUGAUUGAGGCGCCGACACAUCAAGAUUAAGUGAUGUCAUCCCCUAAGCAGCUCCUCUGUGGUCUCCCUCUGGGACCUCAUGACCCCACAGGAGCCACCUGCAGUUCAUAAACACCAGCCACGAGCUUGUCACAGGGGGUUCAAAGGAAAAGACACACCCCAGAUGGCCAGCAAUCGGUGUCAAAGGACUCACAUGCAGUGCAACACAGCAUUCAUAGUCCAUGUUGUCAGCCUGGUCAGGGGAAAUCCAGCUCAGGAGUGGCAAAUACUUUGUUCACAGGCGGCUGAUACAAACAGGGUCACUGAGUACAACAAGACCUUUAAAAACUAUGGCUAUAGGACCUGAUAGUAUUGUGGUAGUUAGUUUACAGACGUUAUUUUGAUUAGAUUAAAUAGAUAGAUAGAUAGAUAGAUAGAUGGAUAGAUAGAUAGAUAGAUAGAUAGAUAGAUAGAUAGAUAGAUAGAUAGAUAGAUAGAUAGAUAGAUAGAUAGAUAGAUAGAUAGACUUUAUUGAUCCCAAACUGGGAAAUUCACAAAUUGAUCUUUAAUUAAAUAAUUUGACAUAGGGAAUAUAUAUUACUAUGAUUUCUUAAGAAGACUGAUAAUACUUACAUAUUUCCAGAGAAAAUAUUAGUUUACUGUUGAAAAAUGUUAGCUUGUUCUGUCCACAGGAAUCAAGAUCCCUUUCGAAGCAUCUCUAGUACACACUUACUGCCAUUUAUCACAGUGUUUCAUUACAUCAAAUCAGGCUUUUCUGUGUCAUGGAUCAGCAAUUGAUUGACCCCCAUAUUACACAUGCACUCUUGACAUUUUUAAAAUUAUGUUCAGACAUGAAAGUCUUGACAUUUUCUGCAAUUUACCUUGAACAUUAACACAAAUACCAGAUCUUUUACCCUGAUGCUACUCAAACUUUUUCCUUCCACCCUCCUCACAAAAUUUCUGCAGGAGGUUGGGGAUGAGUAAAUGCACAAAUGUAGAUGGUAAAAGUCUGAGAAAAUCACCUCAAGUGGCAGUGUUCAUAUCAUGCGACCAGUGUAUUUAAAUGCCAAUUAAGUAAUCCAUGUAAUCUGACUUCUUACUCUUUUCAACUCACAAGCUCUUAUCUAGUCUUGUAUUGUCACUAUAAUUAUGUCCGGUUACAGUUUGGAUUUGGGGGGCGAGCUCCUCAAAUUUUCAGGAAUACAGAAGUGAAAGGAAAUGCAAGUUUCCCACUUCAAAUCUACAAGUCUGUUUAACUUGCCAGCCUCAAAUACUAAAAGUAAAACAUACUGGAACAGUCUUCAAAGUAGAGAGCAUCCAUAAACAGGAUGAACAAGUUAAGUGAGAUACACAGCAAUUUCUUGAUAAGAUUAACUUAGAUACAUGGGUAUAUACUUACUUAAGGGUAUGUGUUGUCAUGGACCGAGAAAGUAUGCAUUAAAACCUUUACACUGCACAAUGUGUUAUCUGUGCUUGUAUGUUUGCAUUCCCUAACUGAGUGAUUUCUUAUCUGUUUUCAUAGAUUCAGAGCAUUUCAACCAGAGAGUUGGAGUAACAUUUUAUUUAUUCAUAAGAGCUUGAAAAAUUUAAAACUUCAGGAUGGCAGGCUAAUUGAGGAACUCAUGGCCCGUGUAAACAGUGCCCUCACUUUCUCAGAGGCCAUAAAGUCUGUAACUGAUAACUUCAACAUCUCUUUCCCCAACCCUGAAGGUCACAGCUUUAUUACUUUAUGGUAAAUUAUCAAUAUGAUGACCACUUAAAACUCCAGUCUGGUAUAAAUGUCUUACCCUGAACCAGUCUUAACUAUAUUUAUUGAUUUUAUGACAAUGAAUGAAGUGAAAUGUUAAUACUUUUUCAGAUAACGUUGACAGAAAGCACCGUUUUACUGUGUUCCCUGACUGUAAUCGAUUACCUAUAAGCUCCUUUCAGCAGAUCAGCACCUGUGAUGCUAUUUAUCAAUGAGGAACUGAGCGCAUGAAUCUGAGCGCAGGACUAUUAAGUAUUGAUGUAGCAGACAGACAUCUCAGGUAGCAGAGAAUCUCUCCACAUCUUAAUUAGAGUUUCUUUCAUGCAUCCAGUGUUGAAAUCAGCCCAGGGGUGAUCCAAACAGGCCGUCUCCUGUACAGACUCCAAUGCGUGUCUAAUGAGUCCAUCAUCCUGACAGCACGCUGUCCUGCGGGGGCCUCCAUCAUGAUUACCCUGGUCUCACAGAUGAAUGUUCUUGGAUUGAGAAUGCCAUCUGUCACUUCAUGCCAGUGUGAGUUAACUAAAAAGGGGUGCGGGGUACAUCAUGUGCACACCUGUUUGUUGUUUCUGCUUCCAAAUCACGUGACACUUCUUUUUCAUUUCCACCAUCUUUCCAACAAGUCUGAUGUGAGCUACAGUUAAGGUCAGAUCCCGUGAAAUUGAAGCCCCCAUACGGCAAAAGCCACCAGGAUAUGAAUGAUUUACUGCAGCCAUACCUCAAAAGCACAUGCCGUAUAUUAAAGGUUCAAUAAUUGAUGCCACAUCCCGUUAAGCAUCAACGCAAUUUUCUCACAUCAGGUGAAGCAAUCAAACUGAAAAUGAUGUAUAUCAACUUAACUUUGCAUCUCAGGACUGAAAAAGGCCCCCCAAGGAGACGCAAUGAAGUGAAAUUACUCUGCUAAUGUAAAAAGGCUGUUGCGAGCUACACAUCUCUAACCUCUCCUGCACUCGUAGCACUUCACGCUGAAUGGUUUUAACUCUCACAUUCUGUCAACACUUGACAAAAAAAGCCAUCUCCUUUCACUCGGAGUACAGUCAAUAUUUUCAGUGCGCCAGUUUUCUCUUUGUGCGUUGAAUACUGGGAGUGAAGAUGGGAGGCUUUUCAUCAGACGACUGCUGGCAUGUAAACAUCCCAUUACAUGUCGUCAUUCAGUUAUUUACUUUGAUCUGGCUCUAUGUACAGGUGCAGAGCUCUCUACAGAGGUGAGAAAUCUAAAAACCAGGUCAAAUUAGACGAAUAAAACAGAGGGUGUGUGGGAGUAAGGGUGUUUGAUUUGCCAAAUGUGAUUAAAGAAGCACUCUUUAGAUUUCUGGCACCACAACACAAAUACAUGAGCAUGAAAAACUAUUGUUCUUUUCUGAAGAAAGCUCAUCCUUCAGUUUGUUAUUUAAUACAGUCUGUCACUGGUGAAAAGCUGAGGAUGCAAGUGCAAGACUUAAUACAUAAUAUAAAACAUGUUAAAGCUCCAAUAAGGAGUUUUGUUGAUCAUAACGAAAUGGAUGGAAAUUAAUAUUAAUGCCUUGUAAUGGUACAAAAGCAAAUAAGACCACCAGAGACAAGAUUAAGAAUGUUUAUAUCCUUGUUUUUAAUGUCCGAAACUCUGUAAGGGGGUAGGGGUCAGCUGUCAACGAAAGAAACAGUCCUGAUUUGACCAUUUCCAUAUCAGAUAUUCACAAUAAAUUAUCUGUUUUAUUGUUAAAAGUCAGCAGGAUGUCAAGACUGCUGUGUUCACUGGGGUGCACAAGUAUUGACACCAACCAAAAGUCACUAACUGGAGCUUUAAAGACCUACUCUGAUGAAAAUCAUGUUUUUUCUUGUUGUCUAAAUGUUCAUAUGGCAGAAAAAUAAGUAUGAAGUUGCAUAUCUGAGUAAUUCUGCAUUCCUAUCGCGGUGAAUCUCUGGCAGACUCAAACAGCACGAUUCAGACACAUUGAGAUUUCCUACAUAGCAAAUCCAAGCUCCGCCUCCAGGGCCCCGCUAUGCAGGCCAGGCUUGGAGAAAUAAAGAGGAUGAUCAUGGAACAAGUGUGUGUGUUAGCAGAACGCAAUAAUCAUAAGAAAGAUAAUCAGGAAAUUAACUUUCAUUAUGUCUCCUAAGACAUUAGUGUCUGAGAGCUGAAUAGCUCCUAUGUUACCUGCUUCUUCUUCUACACCUACAAAGUUAGGCUACAAUCUAGCAUGAAGAGGAGUGUGCAGAGUAGCAAUGUCUCUGCCCACGACUCAGAGGCGACUUGCUUAUGAGCUCUGCAGAGGAAAAGCCCUUAAAAAUGACACAGGUAACGUAGUUUUGUCAAAAAACUCAUAAUCACAAUUUAAAGACCACUGAGAACACUUUAAGUUGUAAAACAAAAACGAUCAGAGUGAGACUUUAAAGACUUCAUCUGGGCUCAGCUGUUAAAAUUAGCACACUCUGGAUUAAUAUCAGAGGUUCAUAAACUUCCAGACUGUGAAUGUGUGCAGAGAUCAUAACAAACAGAGCAGGAAUACAUCUGCAAAGUAGCGGGGAUUCAGAAUACAGCUCCGAAAAGUUGCAACAGCUGGUGAAAUCCUUGGUCUACUUCAUUAAAGGGUGCAUUUAUAAGUCCUGCAGGUUUAGUACUUAUGUCAUUAAUUGCUGUAGCUUUGGGUUGUCUCUGCAGUUCUAAAAUGCCUCUUAAAAAGACACAAUUACACACAGCUAUUACUCUGUCGCUAAUGGUAGCUGUAGGUACUGUUUUGUUGCAAUAAUGACUUUUCAGGUGACCUAUAAGCUUUUCUGUGUUCAAACUUUAGGACUUCUUCCAUCUUUUUGGAACACUUGGGGCGCGUGUUUUUACCAUUGCAAUCAUGUUAUUGUAGUCUGAAAAGUGAAAUACAAACACAUCAGUGGUGCGACUGGUCUCCCUCCCUCUGCACAAUGGCUUAUUGAAUGUGCCACCACUGUGUCAGAUUAAGAGGGUUUUGUUACUGGCAAAUGAAACAACUAUUAUCUGCUGUUUGUAAGUCUAUGAACGUAAUAAUAAUAAUAAUAAUAAUAAUAAUAAUAAUAAUACUAAUAAUAAUAAUAAUAAGAAGAAAUAUAUGCUUCUAUCUUUGGCCCAUAUCUGGUCUUUUUUUGUCAACAGGGUGAUAUAGCCAGGUUAAAAAAAGAAGCAGCUUUGUGACACUGGAAACUCUGAAUUUAUAAUCCACAGAGCCAGUUUUUCAUCCUUUGUUGUGCACCCUUUACUUCUUGAUCCUGCCUUUUUUGUGUGUUUUUGCAUCAUUCAGUGCUGCUCCCUUGUGCGUUCACUGCAUAUAAACAUUUCCAAAUACAGCACACACUUCCUGAUGUUAACCUUUUGGUUGGACUUUCUCGUGACUUAGCUCAGUUAUGUGCUUAUAUUGAUUCUAUCUGCGGUGGUUAUUGUCUAGGUUUGAAAACUUACCAAAUCCCCUGCCUACUUUUCACAAACUGUGGAUAAUAUGCUUCCUAUUGACUUAAGAAUAGACUAAUCCUUUUAAAUGUAUACUUGUUAACAAUCUAAAAAAAAUCAUAAAUCCAGCAUUUUCACAUCCACAUUGUUUUUUUGUUUUUUUUUCAUAGAGAAAUGAAUAUUUUUACCGCGUGUUGCACUUCCACUGUGUUGUGCUGCCACGCUGCCUUGUUAUUGUUCAUGUUCCCUUUCCUGCACACAUUGGUGGACAGUUGUUCUUUCUUCAGCUGCAACAUGUGCUCUGGUUUCUGCUCAACUUCCUCUAGGUGUGAAGGGAAGCCUUCUGCGCUUUAACCCGUGAUUCAAGUGUGUGACAUCUGAAAAAAAGCAAUCAUAUGAUAAGGCAGAUGCUUAUGGUUUUCGAAAGCUCUUUUUGCCCAGAUACAGCUCCAGUGUGUGUGCGUGUAGUGAGUGUGUGUGUAUGUGGCGAUGUGGGUGGGGGGUGGGAACUUGUUUACAGCUCACACACGCUGCUUUGAGUCCUCUCGACAGGGGAAGAAAGACAGCGUAUAGCAGAACUUGGCAGAGCGAAAGUGCAGUGGUGAGUUUUAAGGGAUAAAAAUACUGCCGGUGAGCAGCCUGGAGCUCAGCAGAGAGACUAGAGGUACAACAGCCUUUAAGCUUUGAAGCAUCACUAUCUGUGGCAAUCAGCCCAGUGCGCUCAAGUAGGUUAAACCAAAUCACCAUAAUAUGCAAAUUCCCUGGAUUAAACUUUCCAGAGAGUAAAGUUGAACCAUAUAGCAGUGUUUGUGUUUUUGCACAGGUUUCUUCUCUCUGAAUGCACAGUUUCUUCCUCCAAAAUAAAGCUUCCAAGAGCCUAAGAGUUAUAAUGCAUUAUAUAAUACAUUUCUGGAAAGAAAAAAGGGGCUUCUGUGAAGUCAGGGAAACCUUAAAUGAGCAGAUCCUCAGGGCGAAGAGCUCAGCGAGGGACCCAGUGCCAACCAGCCCUGCAGCCUGCAGCUCCAUGCUUGAUUGGUCUCAGUGGGAAACCAGAAGAGAGGGCAGAAAUCCCAUCUACACACACAUGCAUGCACACAGCCUGCAAAGAUAUGUAUGUCAUACACAUGCUGCCACAUGAACUCGCUUAUUGUGAUGUAAACAAAUGCUCCGACAACAGGAAAACACAACCUGACAUCUGAAAAAAAAUUCUAGUUAAAAGCGCAGAAAAACGCACAGACACCCACGUUGUACACCCACUUACACCCACACACAUUAAGAGUCUUACAGCACGGGAGGGGGGGCUGGGUUCACAGCCUGCAAGCUAUUCAAAAGCUAAUUCUUCUGCACUGAUCCUGGCCAGCCACCUGCACUGAUGAGGAGGGGAGGAGGGGAAGAAAAGGAGGAGGGAGGGAGGGAGGGAGGGAGGGAGGAGGAGGUAGCAGUAGAAGAAUGACAUCACCUUCCCUGAAAUGUCACCAUUAUCUCAAGCCUCAGCUUAGCCGUCUACAAGGGUGACAUCAUCCUCUCUUUGCCCCUCCCCCCUCUGUUUCUGCAUGAGGUUGUGUGCGGUGAGAGAGGGAGGAUGUUUGUUUGUGUGCAUGUGCGUGAAGGCGUGUGAGUGACAGAGCAAGUGUGUAUGCGUGUGUGCGUGCAGGAGAGCGCUUUGAAAAGAAGCAUGAGUGGAUGUUUGUCUGCGCUGUCUCUUCCCUGCCUUUUAACUGACAGCAGAACGGCGCACUUUAAUGACACUUUAAUUCUAUUUACCUCAUUUAGUGUUGACACAGCUACAUUUAAAGUGAAACUCUGGCAUAGACGCAAGUCAGUUUAAAGGAGCACGUUGCUUUGCAUGUUAAUUUGCAAAUAUAUAGAAUCAUGACUGUGUGAAUCAUGUAAAUCAUACAUAUGAAGUCACACUCGGGAGUAAUUGAACAAAUGUCAGUGAGUCAUUUCAUGCAAAUAAUAAAAUUUGUAUCUUUUCCAGCUUUUUUCUACCUUUGUUGAUAAGAUAGGAGACAAAGCAUUUUUAGUAACAGUCUCCUGCUGUAGAUUUGCACCCAGCCAAUGCCAGUAAGAACUGCCAAGAUGAUGUCAAAGACCAUGCUGAGAGAAAACCGCCUUGUCUUUACAGACAUGAUCAAAACAAGAAUAAAAUGCAACAAUGGUAAUCAGUGAAUUUGCAAAUCUUAAGGAGUUCUACUGAGAGUUAAUUUAUCAAAUAAAAUCAAUUAUUAUUUACAACUUUAAAGCAAAUUUCUGAUCUUUUCACUGUUUAAGAUUCAAUUUUAAGAUAUUACCAUGAUAGAAUAGAGUUCAAUGUUAUUAUCUUUGCAGAACUUGAACCAUAGACUGUACAAAAAUCAUGGACAGAACAACAGCUACCCCAAAUGAAGCCAAAACUUUAAAGCUCUUCUUGGUGGACAGCUGCCUCCUCCAUUAUGACAGAUGGGACAUGGGCCAAGCUUAAGUACAUUUACAGGCACAGCUAAAUUGAACUGCGGUCAUAGGCUACAGUCCCUGUCCCAGUUUACAUGCACCCGGCAAAAAUAGAAUUAUUGACAGAACAGUGUCCUUGCAACGCAUUUCUACAUAAUAUAAUGUUUUUUAACUACAAAAGUGGAGUGGAGGUCCUUGCAAAGGAGAAACAGACUACAGAUAGACUGAUUAAUUGUUAGGCCGAUAUUUAACCCAAUUAAUGGCCUUUUGAUGAAAUCGGCAUUAUACCAGCAACAGCCCUCAAGUAGGGAAACCAAACGUCCUUUUACCCAGACAAGUCCUCUUUUUUAACUUGUUCGGCUUUGUCCGGGGGAGUUUAUAAAAUUCUUCAAAUGUCCAGGGUUCGUAUGGAAGUUUUGAGUUUACUACUAUUAGGCCUGCUGACUGUAAUCACAUUAAAUUAAUUUUACAUUGUCCAUAAUUACUCAUAUCCUAACCCUGGAAACUGAGUUCAUUUUGUUUCACCAAUACAUGAGCUGUUGUUGCUGUUGCUGUUGUUUUAAUGUUGCGGCUGUCCCCUGUCUCUCUCUCGCUCAUCCUCGUUCUCUACUCUCUCUCCCUCCUUCUAUCUUGUUCUCUUUCUCUCCCCCUGCCCUCUCCCACUUCUCUCUCUCUCUCUCUCUCUCUCUCCCUCUCCUCUCUCUCUCCCAUCUCUCUGUAUUCCUCCCCAACCCAGCAGCGGCAUGGUGGCUGUCUGGCAUGAGUCUGGUCCUGCUCAAGGUUUCUGCCUGUUAAAAGGAAGUUUUUACUUGCCACUGUUACUCAUGUUGGAUGAGAUGGGCCAAAUCCCAUCUUAGGUUGGGUCUUGAUUAUUCAUCAAACAAUGAGCGUGGUCUAGACCUGCUCUUUUCUUUGGGAAGCGUCUUUGGAUGACGACUGUUGUGAAUUGGCACUAUAUAAAUAAAAUUUGAUUGAUUGAUUUGGGUUUGUCGCAUGGACUUACUGAGUUAGAAGCGCGAAAAAAACACUCGAUCCAACCCGAAAAACUUUCAAAAUUUACGACGCACGACUCCAUGACUCUGCCCCUGCAUAUCCGUGAUUCAGAAUAUGGUCACCCUACCUCAAGGCUGAUAAAAACAUGGUCUUUUCUAAAUGAAAUAUGCAUGUUAGCAUGUCAUCUUAAAUCUAAAACAGUUGUGAGCUAGUGUCUCACAUACAUUCUCCCGUUAUCAGUGAUUUGAUUAGAGGAGGGACUGUGUUAUCAGCCCAUGUUUCCAUCUGCCAGAUCGCCUCUGUGCAUGCCUGAGCUCAGUUUAAUUUAUCAGCGCCCAUGGAGGAGGUAUUUUGGUGGUAUUACUUCUUACAAUGGGAGGAGUGGAAGGCGCACCCUCCAUAUUAAUAUACAGUCAAUGGCUGUUACUAUUCAAAUAAAUCCAGAUGCAAUGUCACCAUCAUCAUACAUAAUCUACACACCUCGCCGUUGACAGUUUAAGCUACCAUUUCUCAGGCUACUUAUAAGUAGCAGGAACUUAAUAAUACAAGGGAGCUGGUGAUUUACAAGUUUUGGACACAGAUGCUCGCAAGCAGCUCACAAAUUACCCCCCACCCAUCGUUCCUCCUCUCCAGUCCUCAUCACGCGUCCUAGAGGAGCACUGUGAGUUCUGACCUCUGUCAUGUCAUUACACUAUCUGAUGUCCCGAGCAGCUGGCAGUCGUAAAAUCCACCGAAGCAUGCCAAGCGUGCCAUCACUGCCCUCAGUACGUGUCCCAACACUCCCCAAAU
This is a non-coding RNA of Xyrichtys novacula (pearly razorfish), 26017 nucleotides long. The record is from the annotation of a GenBank genome assembly. NCBI's taxonomy places the organism in Eukaryota, Metazoa, Chordata, Actinopteri, Labriformes, Labridae.